UAAUUGUUAUAUCCAUGAGAUGACAUAGAUUGAUUUCGAGUUGUCACUCUAAAAUUGGGGAUUAAUUAAUAUUUAGAUAAUUACUAAUUGAAUAGUGGUGGAUUCCGAAACUUUGGUAAUUUUUAUCUCAUUAAAUUCUCAUUUACUUUAAUUGUUUUCUUAGUUUAAUUAGUUUAAUUUCUCUUAAAACUCAAUUUGCUCAACUAGGUUAGAAUUAAUAUUAAUUUUAGAUUUAAAUUAGACUUUUCAAUUUAUAACAAUCCCUGUGGGAUCGACCUCGUUACCACUUUUCUAUCUCUAGAUUCGUGCGCUUGCGAAUAUAUUAAAAUUUUCACAACAGCAAUCAUUGAGAUUGCUGUGUUUGGGGAGUUACUGCUAGGUUGAUGAGUUGUUGAAGUUAUGAUGAUUUUCUGUGUUGAUUGAGUUCUUAGGUUAAUUUCAGUUUCUAGAUUCACUUGAAAAUUGCUUGCUGGUUAAUUUGCUUUGAAAAGUUGUUGUGAUGAUUGAACUAGUGGUUAAGUAGCAUCAAUGUUUCAUCUUAGCUUGUAAUUGUAAUUGUAAUUGAUUUUGCAUUUUGCAGUUGUUGUUAAUCAUUUGUAUUUUUGGGUUCAUUAACUUGCUGGACGUAAGUAUAGGUAUUCAUGUUGUGGAUUUGUGCACUUGCUGAACAUUAUUGGUAGCAGAAUUUGUUGGUUAAAUUUCUAUAUUGUUUAGUUUGCUAGGGAACAUUUUAUUACUUUAUUUACUACUUUAUAAAUGAUAAAUGAGAUGAAUGUUUGGAGUUCAUAAUCGGAUUCUCAAUUACUAUUGCCCAAUUUUAUCUUUUUAGCAA
Molecule: long non-coding RNA, 832 nt
Filed under: Citrus x clementina
Lineage: Eukaryota; Viridiplantae; Streptophyta; Magnoliopsida; Sapindales; Rutaceae
Description: Citrus clementina (C. clementina) long non-coding RNA (CCLE_LNC006540)
Source: RNAcentral